UGUCACUGCCACGACGGCCACCCCUCCCCUUCCACACACACACACACACACACACAUACUGGAACAACGAGAGCAAGCCCUCCCUCAAAAAAAAAGAUAAGGCUGCGAGCGCUGCUCUCGCUAUUUGCACACUGGUAGGCACGGACGUGCAUGCAUAGAAGGCACAGUCUAGAGGCACCUCUGAAUGCUCACACACCCACAGAGGUAUCCACACAUAUUGGCGCACUCAUAUAUCGAGCACCGUCAUGACAUCACGUAUCUUGUCCGUUCGCAAGUCUUUGGUGUACCCUUUAGGGCAGCUGUAAGCUGCGGCGUCCCAGGGAAUGCCAUCGUCGUCCCCGUCGCCAUCGUCAGGGCCACGGCAACCACCGCUGGGCGACAGCGGAAAGCGCCAGUUUAGUACCUUGCCACCGAAGCCACCGGCUGCAGGUGUCGAAGAACCUCAGUCGAGUGACGCGGAGGAACCGAUUCCGUUUCUCGCCACCAUGUCCAUGAACCAGGUCGGCUUCUUGCACGCCCGCAAGUGCACCAGGCGCGACCUCCUCGGUACUUCGCUGGGGAACCGUCCUGCGUCGGGCAAUGUGCUCGUCAACGGUGCUUCUCACGGCAACGAAGCAUUACCUGUUCCGGAAUCACGCUCAGCCACCUCCAAAUCCCUCGCAUCGGCAGCUUCUGCUCCUCUGGCCCCGAUGGCUGAGUCGGAAUGUGAUGUGACCAACCUCGAGCAGAUGCUCAUGCAGAUCAUGGACGCCGCCAAAGCGGCCGCGAGCACGGGCCAGACACCGUCACCUGAUUCAGCGCCGCAAAGCGCAGACACGCUUCCGGCGUGUGAGUACCUGCUGCGCACGUGCUUCCAUUUCGACACUGGCGCCUUCAAGCCCCGUCAGCAAGAGGUGUGUCUGUCGGUUCUCGCUGGCGUCAGCACGCUCGCCGUGUGCCCCACCGGCUGGGGAAAGUCUCUCUGUUUCCAGUUUCCCAUGCUUGUUCAUCGUCUGCUGUUUCAAUGCCGCUACACGCGGUGGUGCCGGCAAGCUGCGACGGCACCGGCAACCGCGCAGCAGUCAAGCGAAACGGCGGCCAAGGAAGGGCAGACGGCUGCCCCAAGAUCUGCCGGCGCUCUGCUAAGCAGCGGCCUACCGGCGCACCUGUUCAGCCGCUUCUGCGUCGUUGUAUCUCCUCUCCUCGCGCUUAUGGAGGACCAGGCAGAGAAAGUCAACGCCGUUGAUCACCUCAGCGCCUUUGUGCUGUCGGGAAAGGUGGGCGCUGACCGGGAGGCACGAGUGCUUGCCCAGCUCGAGUCCCCGGUCUGCCCGCUCGACAUUCUGUUCGUGUCGCCGGAGAAGCUCAUUGCGAGUGUGCCGCUGCGGCGUCUCUUGCAGACGCAGGCGCACCGGCUGGCGCUGGUAUGCGUGGACGAGGUACACUGUGUGUCCGGCUGGGCCUACGACUUCCGGCCCACCUUCAUGUACGUCAGCCGCGUGCUGCAGAGCCCCCUCCUUGGCGACCCAGCGGCACACCCAUGUCAGGAGCGGCAGGCAAUGUGCGCGAGGGAGGCGCUGGCGGCGGUGCCGUACCUGUGCCUCACCGCGACUGCGACGAAGGCCGUCACGCACGACAUCCAAGCCAGCUUCGGUAUUGUGCGGACGGUGACGUGCGGCGAUCAGUGGCGCGCGAACCUUCGGCUGCAGGUGACGGACCUAGUCGAGCGCCAUGCGUCAUUUCACCACCUCCCUUCAGCGUCUGGCAACGAUGCUGAGGCUCGGGAGCCGUCUGCGCGCGUGACGCAGGACGCGCUCCUAGAGGCGGUACAACAGCUGCCGAAGCCGAUGAUUGUGUACGUACAAAGCCGUGCAGACGCAGACGCGUUGUCGGGACUGCUUUCCUCCAAAUGUGGGCAAUCGCAUUCGCCGUCGCCAUCGGCGGCGUCGGGGACGCGCUCUGGUGUGUUCCACGCCGCGCACUACCCGCUUCCACGCGAGCAGGCCAGCCCAGCCUAUGACGCGGAAGGCGAGGGCACGGAGGAGAACCCCAAUGACGAGCAUGCAGAGGCGCCACGCGCUCCGGAGGUCGCGAUGGUGAUCCGCCCGUAUCACGCCGCGUUGACACAGACGAUGCGAAGCGCCACUCAGAGACAGUUUCUGCAAGGCAAGAUCGACGUAUUGGUGGCCACGAUUGCGUUUGGCAUGGGUGUCGACAAGGCCAACAUCCGCAGCGUCAUCCACGCCUCGGCACCGAGCUCGAUGGAGUGCUACGUGCAGGAGAUUGGCCGGGCGGGCCGCGACGGUGCGCCAAGCAUCUGCCGUCUCUUGUACAACCCUUUUGACUUCUACACCCUCCGGUGCCGACUCUGGGGCACGCUGCUCUCGCCGUCCGAGAUGCACUCCAUCGUGCGUGCGAUCUUGUCAUGUUCUGCCACCCACGUCGGGCAGCGACUCAUGCUUGUCUCUGUAUCCGCUCUUUCAGCGGAGCUGGGGUUCAGUGAGGAGAUCAUCGAGACAGUUCUUUUCCUGCUACUCACCACAACUCACGUCAAGGCUCCGCUUGCUGAGGACUUCUCCUCGUGCGCAUCCCCUUCUCGUCUACCUGCCCCUUUCAAGAGUGUUUGCGGCGCGUACCCUCUCAGCUACAAGGUUCUACGGGUGCAGGAAGAGGCAGGAAAGGACGGUGAUCCGGAGCUGGCGAGUUCAGCCAGCAACGCCACCCUUCACGGCAGAGCAACGCCGUUGAAGCGACGGCGCACUGGCGCCACAGCGGCACUAGGUGGCUCCUCCUCGGCCGUCGCCGGCGUGGGUCUUCUCCUUCGGCAGCUCGGGGCCACUGACACCGUUCUGGAGCUGUGCCGUGUGACACCAAACAUGCCGAACCAGAUCGAAAUGGCGAACAAGUUGUCGAUGCCGCUUUACGAGUUUCAGCAACGCAUGCAGGACCUCGUGGAAAGCGGUAUCGUAACGGUCGCCAAGUACGGCAGGUCGUCAGCUCUGCUUUUAGAGUUGGCAGACUCGUUCGACGAGGCGGCGAGUCCUGCCGGUCAGCAAGCGCUCGCCUCGCACCUUUUAGCUCUCCAUCGCGGUCGUCUGGAUGCGCAGGUGGCCGGGCUGCGACGGAUGUUCAGCGUCCUUCAACGCCCAACCCACGAAGCCAUUGCUGCUGAGCUGAGCAGGGAGCCCGGUUGGUGCGACACGGGGCUCGGCAACGGCCAUCGUUCAUGGAGGCCGCCAGGUCGGGAGAUGGGCAAGCUGAAGGCCGUAUCUCUGGUCAACGCCUUUGUCGAAGAGAAUCGCCUCCGAAUCCAUUCCACCUACGAGGCGCUGCGUGCUUUGUUGGGAAUUCGCCCAAGGAGUCUUAUCCAGCAUGGCAAGUACGCAGGGCAGCUCCCCUUGGCUCAGAGCUGGUACGUGAACUCCCCGUACUUUGGGGCGCUGCGCACCUUUGAGCUGUCUUGGGUACUACAGGUGCUUGCGCCCCACCACCUCGACGCACCAACCCCUGACGCGUGAGGCAGUAGUAACGCUCAGUAGCGUGACGAGAGAGGAGUAAAAGCGAAACCGCUAAACGCAUCCCUCCCCCUCCCCAAGACAAAAAAAAACGGCCGAGCCCUGGGGUCAACGAAACACUGCCCAUACUGUCCCGCAUGGAGCGUGCUCUUUCAGCGCGGAGUGUGUGGUGAAUCGACGUCGGUCCGGAUUCGUUUGUGCGCCUGCGCUUCUACGCGCGCGCAUGUGUGUGUGUAUGACGACUUCUUGGGUACCCCACUCUUCCCAUGAGCUUCCUCCUCCUCUUGUGCGUGCGCGGCGUAUUUAUAAACCAUGCCAUCUUGCCUUGCCCCUGCUCCCUCUUUACCUUUCCCUCGCCUUCUUUCUUACUGUCCGUGUCCUCCUCUUUUCCCUGUCCUUUGUGUCGUUAG
This 3904-nucleotide unclassified non-coding RNA is filed under the name Leishmania donovani. Its description in RNAcentral is "gene:LdHU3.30.3120(CDS-product:ATP-dependent_DEAD /H_DNA_helicase_recQ_family-_like_protein)". The record is from RNAcentral. Lineage: Eukaryota; Euglenozoa; Kinetoplastea; Trypanosomatida; Trypanosomatidae.